Amphiprion ocellaris (clown anemonefish) is the source of this 13322-nucleotide RNA transcript. RefSeq lists it as uncharacterized. NCBI's taxonomy places the organism in Eukaryota, Metazoa, Chordata, Actinopteri, Pomacentridae. The record is from RefSeq and is a predicted model, not a curated record. The transcript is spliced from 21 exons.
GAAGAGCAGCGGAGCAGAGCCGGAGGACGGAGCUUCGAGUCCGACGCUGAAUUCUGAACUUCCCGCUGAAAUUAUCUGAAUUGUCCCGCUGGAUAUCUCAUUUAUUAUCAUUUAUUAUCAUUUAUUAUCAUUUACUAGAUCUCGGUGGAUUCUCCCACCAAACGGAGACGAAGCUUUGGGUGAACCGAUGAGCGGCAGCGGUCGGAGCCUUUAGCCGGUUAGCUGCUGCUGCCUGCCGUGGCCGCUGAGGACAUGGGCCGAGGAGACGGACCAAAGCGGGGCAGACCCCCCAUGGGACCCCCUAUGGGACCCCCGCCUGACGACGGAUCUCCAUUCGACGUGGGGCCACCGGGCUGGGGGCCUCCGCCCCACGGGGGUUGGGGCCCUCCGCCGCCUGGAGGCUGGGGUCCUCCCCCGCCUGGAGGCUGGGGUCCUCCCCCGCCGGACGGGUGGCCUCCUCCCACGGAGGAGUGGGGCCCUCCGCCGCCCGGAGGAUGGGGGCCGAGACGGCCUCCGCCUCCGGACUGGGACCUCAGAGGACCUCCGCCGCCGGGCUGGGGGCCUCACCCCGACGACUGGCUUGGUCCUCCGGAGGACUGGGGCCGUCACCCCGACCCCUGGAGGCGUCCACACCCCGACGACUGGAGGCUUCACCUGGACGACCUGAGACAUCCCCGGGAGGAGUGGCGGCUCCGCCCCGAGGACUGCUGCCCCGACAGGCCUCUGCCUCCGCCGGGUUGGGGACCUCCGGACAGGGGUCCGGAAGGUCCUCCUGAGCCGUGGGGACCCGAGCCUGGACCUCCCGUCCCGCCUCCAGUGCCUCCUCCGGGUCUGCCGCCGCCUGUCGGGAUUCCUCCUUCGGACCCCGCAGCCUUCGGCCCGGCGCCGCUCCCUCCGAUCCCACCGCCGGCCUGUGUCCCUCCAUUCGGGUUCCCGGCCUUCCCUCCGCCCGGCUGGACAGCGGAGACGGUGGUGGAAGAACCGAUGCCGAACCCGCCUCCUGAUCAGCCAGAGUGGAUCAAAGCUCUGAUUUCGGCUCCGGCUGCCGAUUCGACUCCAGCUGAGACUAAAAAGCCUCCAGAGGAACCGGCCGUCCCCAAAGCGCUUGCCCCUGAGCCAGAACCAGCACCCAAACCCAAACCCAGACCCAGACCCGAGUCCAGGAGGAGCAAAGGUCUAGGGCUGCUGGGGAAACGAAUGUUCGAAAAACCUCCUCCUGGAAGAUCUACAGGAAUCAUCUCCUUUAUCGGGCCGUCGUUUGGCUACAUAGAACGUGAGGAUCUGGAGAAGUUCACGUUCAGCUUCGAUGCCUUCUUUGGGAACCCUAAAGCAAUGACCCCUGGAGUCCGAGUCCACUUCACCGCCUGCAGGGAGAAGAACGCUAGUUUGAUCGCGACGGAUGUGAAAGUGGCUCCAGGUGGAACUGAGAACGUCGACACGGAGAUUUAUGAAGCCGUCGUCAGUCAGCCGAUCACAGAACAGCAGCAGCCCGGGGAGCGAGCCUAUCCCGGCCAGGUGUACGUGGACAUCGGCCCUCUGAGGACCAACCUGCCCUUCGACAGGAAGGACAGCACGGUGACGCUGCUAAAGAACGACCAAGUCCUCAUCAACCUGCUGACCGACAUCGUGUCCGAGAAGAGGAGGGCCACCAACGUCAAGCCCAAGAUCCCUGCCACCUUCAGCCACACCGGGGAGGUCCGAGAGAAGGGAGUCAUCGUCAGCCUGAAGGACGGAGAAGGAAUCAUCAGGUCGGAGGAACACGGAGAACUUCCCUUCGACAUCAAAGAGAACUUCAGUGACGUGGACUUCACUGAGGAAGACGCCAACGAGGAGGUGGAGUUCACCGUGGUGGAGCUGAGGUCAGGGAAGAGAGCCAUCAGGAUCCAGCGAGUCAAGGAGCCCCUCCUCCUCACGCUAUGCUCCGCCUCCUCUGAUGUCAUCGCCCCCAUCGCCGAGGAGACCGACGGCGACGGCGACGAGGAGUUGAUGAAGAUGAAGAGGAAAGCCAAGGUGGAGCUGGGACCCAACAUGAGGCUGGACCCGGAGCUGUACGAGGGCAUCGUGAGCCAGCCAAUCAUAGAGCCCUCGCCCAACAUGCCCGGGUAUCCUGGUCAGAUUCACGCCAACAUCGGCCCCAUCAGGACCAACGUGACGUUUGACCAUCGGGAUUGCGGCGUGACGCUGCUGAAGAACGACCACGUCCUCAUCAACCUGCUGGUGGACCUGGUGACCAGGAAGAGGAGGGCGGCAAACAUCAAGCCCAAGAUCCCCUUCACCUUCAGCUACACCAAGGAGACCAGAGAGCUGGGCAUCAUCAGCCGUCUGGGAGAUGAGGAGGGCGUCAUCUCCUCAGAGGAACACGGAGAACUUCCCUUCGAUGUCUGCGAAAACUUCAGCGACACCGAGUUCAACGCCAACGACAUCCACAAAGAGGUGGAGUUCACAGCGAUGACGGUGAAGUCCAGGAAGAGGGCGAUCAGGCUGAGGAGGACGAAGAAGGUUGCAGACCAAAUCCUGCACGAGCAGAAACGACGAGAGGAAGAGGAGAAGAAGAAGAAGGAGGAGCAGGAGAAGGAGGCGGAGAAGGAGGCAGAGAAGAAGAAGAAGGAGGAAGUAGCUGCAGCACUAGCAGCUGCCCAGGACAAAUGGACGCCGUUCGGCUUCAAAACCAGAGACCCCGACUCACUGGAUGAGAUCAGCAAAGAGCGAUUCGAAGGAACUGUCCUCAAAGCCAUCUCCAAAGCUCCACGCAAGGAGAUCAAGAAGGAACCGGAGGAGGUCCAGGUGGAGCGAGGAGGCACCGAGAACGGACAGACGGAGAACAUGGAGGACGGUGUGAAGGGAGCAGUGGAGGUGAAGGUGGAGGUGAAGAAAGAGGACGAGGAGGCGGAGCUGACACCUGUAGCAGGGGGCGGAGCCAAACCAGACCCAGAGAUGGGUCGACUGGUGAUGACCGUCGAGGGUCAACAGAAGCAGCUUCCCUUCGGUCCCAAAGACCUGCUGAGCAGCGCCACCAUGCUGGAUGGAGACAAGGUCCGUUUCAACAUCGCCACCAAUCCACAGACCAAAGAGGAGCGAGCGACGUACGUGGAGAUCCUCCCCGACUCCUUUGAGGAGUCCAUCGAACAGCGUCGACAUGGCAUCGUUAUCGAGUUCUUCCAGGACUCUGGGCUCAUCAAGUGCACUCAGAACCCUCAGCUCUACUUCCACAUGUCUGAGGUGAUCGAGAAGAAGAAGCUGGAGCUGAAUGAGAAGGUCGAGUUCAGCGUCGUCCCGCAUGAGACGGCGGAAGGAGGAAACCAGGCCAUCAGGAUAAAACGCUACACAGAGAGCGUUUUCCUCCACGUCCGGAAACUCGGGGGUGUCGGUGCAAUCAAAGGAAAGAUGACCAUCAAGCUGACAAAAGCAGAAGAGAAGGAAAAACCAGAGAUGGACAAGCUGAAAGCCAUUGUGAAAAACCUCAGAGCGCAGGACAGCAAGCCAGUCAGGAAGGAUCACGGCUCUGCUCGCCGUAAAUAUGGCCGCAGCGGGACUAGAAGCAGGAGCAGGAGUCGGAGUCGGGCUCGGAGUCGAAGUAAAAGUAGGAGUCCGCCAAGGGACCAAUUUGGACGUGUUGUCAAGAGGAAACGCAGCCCCAGCGUUGAACGUGACCGCAAGAGUAGCAAGUACAGACGCAGCCGGGAGACGUCGCACCGGCGCAGCAGAAGCCGCUCAAAGAGUCGCAGCAAGAGCUCGAGCAGAAGUCGCAGCAGGAGCAGGGAGAGGAGUAGAGACAGAGCCGCCAAGAAGAAGAGCAAAGUCAGCAGAGAACGAGAGGAAAGCCACAAGAGGAGGAGGGAGCUGAGUCCUCCGACCAGGAGAGGAGGAGUCAUGGACGACGAACUGGCGAGGAAGAAACGGGAGCUGGAGGAGCUGAAUGAGAUGAUCGCCUAUAAGAAGUCCCUGGUGGACCCAAGAGGACCGGACCCCGGCCAGAGGACCUGCAUAGACUACGACCAUGGCAGGAUUGCUGUCCCGCUCACCGAGUACAAACCAGUCCGGUCCAUCCUGAAGAAACGACCAGAGGGACCCGAAUACCUCCAUCAUCCUCCUUAUGAUGAUCCCUACUAUGACCGGGCAUACGGUCCUUACCAAGAUCGGCGGUAUGCGGAGCGCUAUGGCAACCCGUACGCCAGCCGGCCCUAUGCUGAUUGGCCUUACGCUGACCAUCCAUAUGGGGACCGCCCUUUUGAAAGUCGUGUCUAUGCUGAACCUCCCUAUGGUGGCCCGCUACCUGCCCCCCGCCGGUACACCGAUCGCUACGAUGUCUAUGAUGAACCCUAUGACGAUCGCUACUAUGACCUGGCAUACGUGGACCGACCGUGUGAUCCAUAUCUCCCAGUCAAACAGAGCCAGUCUCCCGAACCCCACCAUCUCUCGCCACCCUCUCAGUCUGGUCAAAGCCCCACUGCUUCCACUCAAACUCAUUUGAAAGAUUCUGCUGCCACUUCAUCCUCUGAACCGCCUUUAAGGCCUCCUUCUCCGGUAGUGCCGCCUCCUCGAAGCCCUUCUCCCAGACUGAAGCUCACCACCUUACACCCGUCAUCUCCCGCUGAGAAACCGCCUCUGGACCGCUUCCUCGACAUGCUCAACAAAAAAGUUGAUGCUGAGAAGGAAGCAGAGCCGGUUCAUGUUAGUGACGACCUGCUGCCUCAUGAGCGGGCUCUUCAGGAUGGCAAAGGCUUCUCCCGGAUUGUAGGGUUGACUCAAGAGCCACCCAGCAGCAGUCUGGUUCUGGAAGUGGAGCAGAAGAAACCAAGUCCUAAACGGUCCUUAGUAGAGGGGACGAGCGAGGAUCCAACGACAGAACCCUACGACAAGAUCCAAAGUCUUCUCCGUACAAUCGGCCUGAAGCUGAGUACCGGAGAUGUGUCCAAACUGGCCAGUCGAGCACAGGAGAAAAUCUACAGCCCCAAGCUGUCCUCCACUGAAAGAGAGACUUUAUCGUCUCCAAGGGAAGACUUGCGAACGAGCAGAACCAGUUCUGUGGAAUUUGAUCACAUUCAUUCUCCGUCCCGUGUUAGAUCCUCUAGUUUGGAACCACUCAGCAGACAUCCAACCUCCACAUCCAAGUACAAGGAAUUCCUGGACCAGGAGGAGUUGGAGACUCUAAAGAACACACAACAGCUGCAAAGUCUUACCAAGACGAGAGGGACCACACCCUCCAGCACCCCUUCCCCCAAGCCUCCUCCUGGGCCUCCCCCUGCUCACUACCAACAUCCACCUCUACCAGUCAACUGGCCAAUUGGCAUCACUUCCCACAUUUUCCCUUCACAGACCUCGACAUCAACAAUUAUUGAAGCUCCAUCUCCUCCUGCCACUGGGCAGCCACACCUGCGACCUCCAGGACCUCCACCUGGACCUCCUCCACGGCGUCCUGGACAGCCACCUCCAGGACCUCCUCCUGGACCUCCACCCCGGCGCCCUAUUGGACAACCUCCUUUCACUCCACCCUCCAGUUAUUCAGUUUUGCCUUUUAUCGGCACUCCUGACCCAACUCUGCUCCCUAACUCCUCCAGUCCUCCACACCCUUUGACCACUGCCAUGGCAACCCUACCAUUAUCCACACCAGCAACCUCAAUUCCUUCAGGCGAUGACUCAUCAGCCAUCUCCACCACAGUGGCUCGGUGCUUGAAGGUCAUAGAGACGGUGAAAUGUCUUGCUGUGCAGCCACCAGCCAAACCAACCAAAUCGGUCCAGUUCAGUUUACCGACAGAGUCCCCGUCAGCUGCCAGUCCUCCAUCUUCAGCGGCGGCAGACGAUGACAUCAAGACUAAGCAGAAGGAAAAGUUGGAUUUGUACAACCAGCGGCUUCUGGAAAAGAGAGAGCAGCAGUACAAAGACAUGCAAGCUCGCAAGAAGCAAGGAGAGAAGGACGGAACCCUGAUGGCUGCAGGUAUCACAACCUGUUGGUUUACAGAUGCUCCUCCUAACUAGAAACGCUUGGAUUACAGGGACUUUACCUCCAGUAACAUGAUGUUCAUACAUUUUCAAGUAUACAGCUGCAUGCCAUUUAUGUGAUUCACGCUGUUUUUAUUUAACUCGACAGGUACUUUGAGCAGGUUAAAGUAGAUAACUUCCUCCCAGGUAGAAACACAGGCUUCAUCUAGAACCAGUAAACCUAUGACUUGUGAGCUAGCGUCAGGCCCGGUGGUCCAGUGCUCUGUAGGGUUCUGUCCAGAUGAUUCUCUGGACCUCCUGACGUGUUAACAGAGCACAUAGAAACAUUGCACUGCCACAAAGGUUCCUCCUGUUAUCUGAUCCUAGUGGUUCGUCCCAGCCAUCAAGAAGCCGACUGCUAUCUCCCUCCACACCUCCACACUACCGUCAUCUUCCUCCUCUUACGGUGACUCUAUGGUUAUCUAGCUUGCACUGAAGGCUGUAAGUCAUCGUAUCACUAUGUAGUCAGAUCAGUUAUUAUAAACUAAAUUACUAAUACCAACUCUAUAAAUUUAAUAUUUUAGAAAUCAGCCCUUAUCAUUAGCUAGAUGUGUAGACACUGAGAAUUUUUAAGCCAGCUUGUUCCAUUUCCAGCGUAGAUGUGUUUACACUCAGUGCUCACUCUGGUCCAGCUUCUGCACACAUUUCCUUUGGAACAUCACAUCUGGAUUUGAACCCAGAUGUUGUGGGGUCAGUCGGUGCAUCGGCCAAUCAGUCGUCGAAACUAGAAUAUUUUACAUAGAAAAUGUCUUCAGUCCAGCUGCACAGUGGUUCGGUGGUUAGUGCCGUCGCCCUGGUUCAUGUCCCGGCCCUCCUGGGAUCUUUCUACAUGGAGUCUCCAGGUUCUCCUGCUGGGUUCUCCAGGUUCCUCCCACAGUCCAAAGACCUGCUGAGGUUAAUCAGUGAGUCUAAACUAUCUGUACGUGUGAAUGUUUGUCUCUCUACACAGAGACAAACAUUCACACUAUGUUGUUUCAGCUCCAAACUGAAACUAUAAAAGAAGUUGUCGGUGUGGCUGCUUGUGGCCCAAACUGAUGGAUAAAAAGUCAAGUGUAAACUUUGCAAACAGCAGUUUACCGAUCACAUCUCAACGACCAACAUGGCCGAGCAUCUAAAACCAGGACAGUCUACGGGUUAAAGCUCAGUCUGUGUGUUAAAGCUCAGUCUACGGGUUAAAGCUCAGUCUAUAGGUUAAAGCUCAGUCUACGGGUUAAAGCUCAUUCUGUGGGUUAAAGCUCAGUCUACAGGUUAAAGCUCAGUCUACAGGUUAAAGCUCAGUCUGUGGGUUAAAGCUCAGUCUACAGGUUAAAGCUCAGUCUACAGGUUAAAGCUCAGUCUACGGGUUAAAGCUCAGUCUACGGGUUAACGCUCAGUCUACGGGUUAAAGCUCAGUCUACGGAUUAAAGCUCAGUCUACGGGUUAAAGCUCAGUCUGUGGGUUAAAGCUCAGUCUACGGGUUGAAGCUCAGUCUACGGGUUAAAGCUCAGUCUGUGGGUUAAAGCUCAGUCUACGGGUUAAAACUCAGUCUACGGGUUAAAGCUCAGUCUAUAGGUUAAAGCUCAGUCUACAGGUUAAAACUUAGUCUAUAGGUUAAAGCUUAGUCUACGGGUUAAAGCUCAGUCUAUGGGUUAAAGCUCAGUCUAAGGGUUAACGCUCAGUCUGCGGGUUAAAGCUCAGUCCGCGGGUUAAAGCUCAGUAGUUGUGUUUCUUGACAGCUUUAAUGGGAGAUAACACCACACAGAUCCUUUCCUGGAGAGAAGGACGCCUAAAGUUCUGUCAGAACGUUCUGCCAGGUUGGACUAAACAGGAACCGCUGAGUGUAAACAGCUAGCUUUAGAUACACCCAGAACUUUACUCCAGGUCUUCCAGGUAGCUGAUGCUGUCUGCUCAGAAAGACAUGAAGUCUACUCAGUAUGAAGGAUGGAUGCAAUCAUCUGGUCCAGGUCUCAGUAGGACCUCCAGGUCUCAGUAGGACCUGGUCCAGGUCACAGUAGGACCUCCAGGUGUCAGUAGGACCUGGUUCAAGUCUCAGUAGGACCUCCAGGUCACAGUAGGACCUGGUCCAGGUCACAGUAGGACCUGGUUCAGGUCUCAGUAGGACCUCCAGGUCUCAGUAGUCCAGAUGUAAACAUGUGGAGCUGACUGAGAGUCUAUCAGGUUGAGUCCAGGACUACCACCAGGUUUCAUGUUUGGUUGUUCUGAAGCUCAGAUGGACGUUUAAACCUACAGGAGACGUUAGCUGCUUCUGAUUUCCAGCCCGUUGCGUCCUGCGUUAGCGGCAGUUCGUUAUCUCUUUCCUCCACCAGAGUCCCUCUUCAAUGUUCACGUCUUUUUUUCAUCAGAUCAGUGAGUUGAGGCUGUAAAUCUCAUGAAUCAGGACCUCCACUGUUGGUGAGUAAGUCGUUUGUGACCAGUUUGCUGCAGCAGCCAGCGUUUUCCAGCUCAGAACGUUUGUGGUUCAGCUAAUUACUUCGGCUAGUUUACUGAGUGCUAAUGUUGAAUAUUUAGCAGCUACCGUUAAAAACCAGUAUUUCUGACGGGUCGCUCUUCAUCCAGUCCGACUUUGUAUUGGAGUUAUUUGUAGGUUUAGCUACGUGUGAAUGAUGAAAGCUAAACUUCAGCUAAAUGUGAGAUUAAAGCUGAUUUUCUCACUAAGUUUUUAUCUUAUUCAUCAAUUUUUCAGCAAACUAAAGCGUGUAAAUAAAUGUUCUACCUGAAGCUGUUAGAACCGCCUGUAUUCAGGUUCUAAGAGUUAGUGCUCUUUGUUUAGUCCUGGACGAGCUUCAGUUAAGUUCUCAGCUCGUUUGUGGCAUUUUUAGUUCAGUAAAUAAAUACUGAACCUUUUUUAUUUCGGGAUAAAGUCCCAACAGCAGCAUGAUGGAAGCAUCCAGAGUGUAGAGAACGUAAGAGACGUUCUAGGGAACACUUAAACCCAGGAACCAGCAGAACGCUGCUGCUGCAGGACCAGUGAGGACGCAGAAACUCCUUUUAUUUCUUUGUACAAAUGUUACGCAGGACUUUGCAUUUGGCCGGGGUACGUCUUUGCGCAGCUAGUAGCGCUUCAGGGUAAGUCCAGUUUGCUGAUUUGUUUUUGCAUCAAACUGACUUCAGUCGUCUUUGCCAGGUUUCCCAAUGCGUUUUAUUUUGGAAAUCCGGAGAGCUGCUGUCCCGUAAACACAUCAUGCCUUCCUGAUUAAUGUACAGUAAAACACCCUUUAAGGUACUGGUUUAAAUGAACAGGUAACACACUGGUUUAAUACAGCAAAGCUCGUAUCAAACAGGCUUAAAGAAACAGGAUCCUGGUGGUUCCGCCUGUAAGCUCAUGUUCUUCUACACCGCCCAGCCAAAAAAAACCACACUGAUAUUUAAUUGGACCUUUAGCUCUGAGAACGGCGCUCAUUCACCGUGGCAUCAUUUCUAUAAGCUUCUGCAACGUCACAGCAUUUAUUUCUGUCUGGAGAUGGAUUCAUUUUCUACAUAGAUCUUCUAUUGAUGAUGGGACAGUCGGACCAAAGUCUCCUCCAGAACAUCCCCAGAGGUCCUCAGUGGGGCUGAGGUCUGGACUCUGGAGGACAAUCCAUCUCAUGCUCCCUGAUCCACUCAUUCUCAAUGUGACCCCAUGAAUCCUCAUCGUCAUCUAGGAACAUGAAGAAAACCUCCACUGAUGGAAAGACCUGGUCCUUCAGUAUCUUCAGGUAUCAGCUGACCUCAUUCUUUGGGAACAUAACGUUGCUGAACCUGACCAACCCUAGAUCAUAACCCUAACCCCCACAGGCUGGUAGGAACUAGCCAUGAUGAGGGCAUCACUUCAUCCACCUCUCUUCUUAUCCUGAUGCCCUCAUCACUCUGGAACAGGGUAAAUCUGGACUCAUCAGACCACAUUAGCUCCUGGAGAUGAUGGUUCUCCACUAUCCUUCAGGUUUUAAUGAUGCGUUGGAUGGUUCUUAACCUGAUUUUAGUCAUUUCAUCUCUUUAGUUGUUUGCCAAUAAUUUGAGCCUUCUGAGACAGAUUAACAUCCUUUCAUGACCACAGGAUAUGUCUUCCAACAUGGUUGUUGAGGAAUGAGAAUCAGCUAGAGGUAAAGAAGAUGUUUCAUCAUUGCAGUAAUUAUCCAAUGGGAAGAUCUGACCUGUCUGCUCAGGUAAAUCCAGGUGGAGACUUUUUUUUGGCCAGGCGGUGUAUUUUAGCUGAUUUGUUCCUUUAGGAGAAGAAAUGUCUUUGAGUCUGACAGAAACUGACAAAAAACAAGUUUAAAAUGUGGUCAAACAUCUAUGUUAAAGGUUCAUUUGGGAUGUUAGCCUCUGGUUCUCCAGUAGAUCAGCCACCAGACAGCACUGAAAUGUUACCAUAAGAAGCUAGCACUGAAAACUCUCUGCCGUGUCCCAGAAGAACAUGUAGCUAGUUAGCUGUUAACUGUUAGCAGUUAGCUGGUGUUAGCAGGUAUGUACUGUAUUUGUCCCAGACAGCUGCUUAUUUCCACAUGAUCGAUGCACCUGAAGAGUCUACGUCCAGCUUUUCCUCUGUCUUCACUCCAUUUGUUUUAUUCUUCUUCGAAUGUUGUGGCCGUUUUUUGGAUUAGCAUCAAGCUAAAUGUUCACUGGAGGUGUUUUACAUGUUGAUCUAAGUUGACCUGCAUUUGUAAAAUAGCUGUGAUGUAAUUUAGGCCUUUUUGUUUUCUGAACUAGCUCUCCGUCUGAAGCUAACGUAUAAGAGCGUGAGCGUCAUUUGGGAUUAGCGGUGACUGACUGGAGGUUUGUUGUCACUAAAAAUUAUUUAACGUCACUGUGAUUAUUUUUAAGAUGCUAAUUGGGAUCUUACCUUUUUGCGUGUUAGCAAGCUAAUGUAGUUAGCUAUUGUCCUCUUUAGCAGUUUCAGUCACAGUUUCCUCUUAGUCCAUCUAUAUGUUACGUAGCUAAAUGUGCAGCUAAAGCUAAAGGAUAAAUUAGUGUUAACUAUAACUUUAAUAUGUAGCAGCUGGUCAGAGCUAAAUGUAAGCUUGGCCUCCAAGCUGACUGUUUUAGCGUUAGUCAGCUAAUCAGGAUCAGUUCAUCUGUUAACUAGCCUGUUAGCUCAGGAAGCUAACACCAGAGAGUUGUCAGAUGUAACUAGGUUGUAGGUGAGAAGUCGACAUGCUGCUGCUAAUCCUAACGUAUGAAAUGUUCAUCGGUGGCGACGUGUACGGACCCUUAGCCUGUUAGCUCAUUAGUCUUUCCAGCUCCCCAGCAUGCAAUGCAGCAUCUCUGAAUCCUAGAGGCUGUUUCUGCCGUAUUUUCUGUCUCACAAACACUCGUCCAGACGACAGUCUCACCUUUACCUGUAAACAUGUGCUCGGGUAACUGCUGUUGUUGCGCUACAGCUCUGUGAGUCCAGGUAGAGGAAGAGUCCAGGUAGAGGACAGGUCUAGGUAAAGGACGGGUCCAAUGUGGAGUUUGGGACUAGAAAUGGAGUUCUAACAAGCCAAUAACAAGAUGAUGUGUAAAAAGCUAAACUCCCACAAUGCUCUCUGCUUCAACUGUAGUCUGAGUGACUCCUCUGGUCUCUACAGGAUUAAACAGGAAGAGGCUCCACCUGGUGGAACAACCAGGAACUACAGCUGAUCUAAUUUACUGACAUCAUGGUACUACAGUACUACAGUAGUACUACAUGUACCCUCAAAUACUGCAUUUACCCUCUAGUACUACAUUCACCCUCAAAUACUACAUUUACCCUCUAGUACUAUAUUUACCCUCUAAUACUACAUUUACCCUCUAGUACUACAUUUACCCUCUAAUACUACAUUUACCCUCUAACAUAUUUCAGAUAAAAAUUAAGUCCAAAACAGGGUUAAUGUCUAAUCUAAUCUAAAACUGGUCCAGAGCCUGUCUAACACCAGUCCAAAAUCCAUCCCAGACAGGUUUUCUUCCUGCUGACAAUCAGAGCAGAAAUCUGUUCUGGGACUUUGUGGAGAAGCUGUUGUUCCAGAGUGUUUGGUGCUGGAGGAGUUUCCACAUCCAGAAGCCUCCUGAGCUGCUCUCCUGGAUAAAAUGAUUUUUUGUAUUUCCCGUCUUCACGCUGUUGGACAGAAACAUGAAACUUUCUUGGGGCUAAAGCUGAGUGACUCCAUUUCUUCUCCCUAAAUGAAACACUGGACUGUAGAUGAACCUCAGAAGGUCAGACAGAAGCUGAACAAGAAAGGCUGAAGCCACGAAACCGUAAACCAGAACGUUAGCAUCAGGUCUAGAGAAAGGUUUUUAGUGUUGUUGCAUGUUCUGUUUGGAUAGUCAGCCAGCAGUAAUGAUGAAGUCUGUCCAUAAAUGUAGCCGUUAGCUGUUAGCCGUUAGCCAUUAGCUAGGGACAUGAAUACAGCUAACAGUCACUCAGAGCUUUUCAGACCUGCAAUGUUUGAUUUCUAAAUGAAGUUCGGCUCUAAAAUGAAACAACAAACCCUGCAGAGAGUUUGUUGUCAGAUGGUGAAGGUAGGUGAUCAUUUUAGUCUUUCUUUGAUCCAUCCGUUGAUUUUCUGAUUGUUUGAAAUACACUAACUUCUGAUUGUCUUAAAUGACACAAACUGAACAAGUACAAAGAUUGUUUUAUCACAAAUGUUCUGUGAGCCGUAUGCAGUUUUAAAAUGGUUCUACUUCUGUUCUAGUCAUUAUGAUUGAUGUAAUUUUAACAGGUAGAACACCUGAUAGCACCAGAUACAAACCACUUCAAAGGCAGUUUUUACUCAGAUAUCAGUAAAUAUUGUAGUUUCCUGUUCAAACCUGUCUGGUUUCACAAAGUUUCACUGUCAGAUUCUCUGCAGACUUUUCCUGUCUGUAGUGUUCUGCUGCUCUGCUCUGAUUGUUCGGUGUUUCCAGGUCUCUACGUAGAUCCAUCAGUAGACGACUAAACUACGUACUCAGCCACUGAUGAAAGAAAUGAACUUUCUGCUUGGGAAGAACUGAAGGUUUAUUAGAGCUCAGUUUAGUUGAAUGGAAAUGUCAUUUUGUAAUUUUGUGGAGACGUUGACCAACAACAGUUCAGUUUAUCUUCUGAGAAUCUGCUGAUUUUAUUGAUUGACUGAAGAGCAGCUACAGUUUCAGUUUGGUUCGGAGCAGAGCUACUGAGAUCAGAACAUGAUCCUGCAGAUCUUUGUGAAGCCAGCAGGACUGAAGUGUAGCCGAACAGCUUUAGAGGCAGAAACUCACUGAGAAAUUUAUCCUGUUCAAACUUCCAGGAAAACCAAUCAGCAGCGAAGCCAAGAAUGUCUGGAUCUGCGGACACUCGCUGGUGUACUGGGCCGAGUCCCGAGCCAAGUUCCCGGAGGUAGGUAUGCAGCUGGGCAUGGAUCCCAGCAGGGUGUCCAUCUGGUGGAAGGGCA